UGCGCAGGCGGUUCAGCAAGCUCGGUGUUAAAUACCCCGGCCCAACCGGGGGGCUGCGCUGAGAACUGCUGGGCUUGAGUUCAGGAGGGGAAGCUGGAAUUCCUGGUGUAGGGGUGAAAUCUGUAGAGAUCAGGAAGAACACCGGUGGCGAAGGCGAGCUUCUGGCCAUGGACUGACGCUGAGGCACGAAAGCGGUGGGGAGCGAACA
RNAcentral lists this ribosomal RNA (208 nucleotides) under uncultured bacterium. RNAcentral describes it as "partial 16S ribosomal RNA". It matches the Rfam family "Bacterial small subunit ribosomal RNA", at positions 568 to 774 of the family's 1533-position model. The record is from RNAcentral.